RNAcentral lists this ribosomal RNA (484 nucleotides) under uncultured bacterium. RNAcentral's name for it is "partial 16S ribosomal RNA". It matches the Rfam family "Bacterial small subunit ribosomal RNA", at positions 30 to 507 of the family's 1533-position model. The record is from RNAcentral.
AUUGAACGCUGGCGGCAGGCCUAACACAUGCAAGUCGAGCGGAUGAAGGGAGCUUGCUCCUGUAUUCAGCGGCGGACGGGCGAGUAAUGCCUAGGAAUCUGCCUGGCAGUGGGGGAUAACGUCCGGACACGGGCGCUAAUACCGCAUACGUCCUGAGGGUGAAAGUGGGGGAUCUUCGGACCUCACGCUAUCAGCUGAGCCUAGGUCGGAUUAGCUAGUUGGUGAGGUAAAGGCCUACCAAGGCGACGAUCCGUAACUGAUCUGAGAGGAUGAUCAGUCACACUGGAACUGAGACACGGUCCAGACUCCUACGGGAGGCAGCAGUGGGGAAUAUUGGGCAAUGGGCGAAAGCCUGAUGCAGCCAUGCCGCGUGUGUGAAGAAGGUCUUCGGAUUGUAAAGCACUUUAAGUUGGGAGGAAGGGCAGUAAGUUAAUACCUUGCUGUUUUGACGUUACCAACAGAAUAAGCACCGGCUAACUUCGUG